This 440-nucleotide ribosomal RNA is filed under the name uncultured bacterium. RNAcentral's name for it is "partial 16S ribosomal RNA". It matches the Rfam family "Bacterial small subunit ribosomal RNA", at positions 338 to 795 of the family's 1533-position model. The record is from RNAcentral.
ACUACGGGAGGCAGCAGUAGGGAAUAUUGCUCAAUGGGGGAAACCCUGAAGCAGCAACGCCGCGUGGAGGAUGAAGGUUUUCGGAUUGUUAACUCCUUUUGUUAGAGAAGAUAAUGACGGUAUCUAAAGAAUAAGCAAGGUCUAACUCAGUGCCAGCAGCCGCGGUAAUACGGAGGGCGCCAGCGUUACUCGGAAUCACUGGGCGUAAAGAGUGCGUAGGCGGGAAAGUAAGUCAGAUGUGAAAACAUUGGGCUUAACCAUAGAACUGCAUUUGAAACUGUUAUUCUAGCGUAAGGGAGAGGUAGGUGGAAUUCGUGGUGGAGGGGUGAAAUCCGUAGAGAUCAAGAGGAAUACUCAUUGCGAAGGCGACCUGCUAGCACAUAACUGACGCUGAUGCGCGAAAGCGUGGGGAGCAAACAGGAUUAGAUACCCUAGUAGUC